RNAcentral lists this ribosomal RNA (460 nucleotides) under uncultured bacterium. Its description in RNAcentral is "partial 16S ribosomal RNA". It matches the Rfam family "Bacterial small subunit ribosomal RNA", at positions 338 to 795 of the family's 1533-position model. The record is from RNAcentral.
CCUACGGAGUGCAGCAGUGAGGAAUAUUGGUCAAUGGGCGUAAGCCUGUACCAGCCAAGUCGCGUGAGGGAUGAAGGUUCUAUGGAUCGUAAACCUCUUUUAUAAGGGAAUAAAGUGUGGGACGUGUCCUAUUUUGUAUGUACCUUAUGAAUAAGGAUCGGCUAACUCCGUGCCAGCAGCCGCGGUAAUACGGAGGAUCCGAGCGUUAUCGGGAUUUAUUGGGUUUAAGGGGUGCGUAGGCGGCCUUUUAAGUCAGCGGUGAAAGUCUGUGGCUCAACCAGAGAAUUGCCGUUGAAACUGGGGAGCUUGAGUAUGUUUGAGGCGGGCGGAAUGCCUGGUGUAGCGGUGAAAUGCUUAGAUAUAACGCAGAACCCCAGUUGCGAAGGCAGCCUGCCAAGCCAUGACUGACGCUGAUGCUCGAAAGCAUGGGGAUCAAACAGGAUUAGAUACCCCAGUAGUC